GAUGAACGCUAGCGGCAGGCCUAACACAUGCAAGUCGAGGGGCAUCGCGGUGCAGCAAUGCACUGGCGGCGACCGGCGUACGGGUGCGUAACGCGUAUGCAACCUGCCCCGCACCGGGGGAUAGCCCGCCGAAAGGCGGAUUAAUACCCCAUGGUCCCGGGGGCCCGCAUGGGCAUCCGGGUAAAGCCUUGGCGGUGCGGGAUGGGCAUGCGUGCCAUUAGCUGGCUGGUGGGGUAACGGCCCACCAGGGCAACGAUGGCUAGGGGGUCUGAGAGGAUGGUCCCCCACACUGGUACUGAGACACGGACCAGACUCCUACGGGAGGCAGCAGUGAGGAAUAUUGGUCAAUGGGCGGAAGCCUGAACCAGCCAUGCCGCGUGCGGGAUGAAGGCCCUACGGGUUGUAAAGUGCUUUUUGAGGGGAUGAGGAAGGACAGUACCCUCAGAAUAAGUCUCGGCCAACUACGUG
RNAcentral lists this ribosomal RNA (468 nucleotides) under uncultured bacterium. RNAcentral's name for it is "bacterial SSU rRNA". It matches the Rfam family "Bacterial small subunit ribosomal RNA", at positions 28 to 507 of the family's 1533-position model. The record is from RNAcentral.